GGAGAAGGCAAAGUGCAGAGGAAGGAGGAGCCACUGCUAAUGGGUACGAGGUUUCUUCUUGGUACAAGGACUUCUACGUUCUGUCCUCCUGCAGCCAUCUAAAGUCAGCCAGAAAGGUUUAGGAUCCCAUUUCCUGUUCUUGCAUCGGCUGUCCAAGCUGCUGUUCCUCUCUCUGCAGUAAGAGGGUGUUUUUCUCCCUAUUUAAGAGGAGCACCAACACUUGAGGACAGUAUCAUCCCUAGACCUUGGCAAGAGAGACCACUGAGUGAGGCAUCCAUGGAACCCAAGGAAGAGGCCUACGAAGAACCUGCAGUCACCUUCUAGACCAUUCUCCCUCACCAAACUGUCCCCUCCAGAGAGCUGAGGACUGGAUCUUCCCAUGCUGACACCUCCAGUGGGAAAGAAAAUUCUAGAUUCAGCUCUGGGUGUCCAAGUCAUUAUGAAGGCAUAUUUGUCAAGGUGGAAGAAAAGGACAUAUUCUAUUUAGCAGUUUACUGAGCCUGGCCAGGUCCCUGCUUGUCCUGAGACGAUGAGAGGAGGCAUGAUGUGGCCAUGGAGUGCUGGAGCAGCCGGGAGCGUCACCUUCACCUGGCCCCUCACUAGCUGUCUGCUGUCUUCUUACAAUGCUGGCGUGUCUCCAGGGCUGUGCUGAUCAAGGAGUCUCACUGGCUUUCCAGAAGAGCACAGAAGUCCUAAUUUGUAGCCUUUGCUGACUUCCGUGAUUCCAGUUCCCUCACUGACGGCAGAGUUGGGAGGAGGAGCAGUGAUGCUGACAUGCCACACCGGGUCAAGAGACAGAAUGUGCUAUAACCUUCUGGAAACUUCUACUAUUUUCCUGCAACCUGACUACCCCUUAGGUGAGGGAGUCCAGAAUGCUGGCUUGAAAUGGGAGAGAGAAAGAACUGCCACAUAAUUUGCAAGAUCUUUUUUGAAAAAGAAAAGGUAUUAAGAAUUCCAGGACAGCAUUAGGAAUGUAUUAAACCAGAAUAAGGAACAGCGAGCGGAG
RNAcentral lists this long non-coding RNA (1006 nucleotides) under Pan troglodytes (chimpanzee). RNAcentral's name for it is "long non-coding RNA NONPTRT017531". The record is from RNAcentral. Lineage: Eukaryota; Metazoa; Chordata; Mammalia; Primates; Hominidae.